Long non-coding RNA from Mastomys coucha (southern multimammate mouse), 526 nucleotides. RefSeq lists it as uncharacterized. The transcript is spliced from 3 exons. The record is from RefSeq and is a predicted model, not a curated record. NCBI's taxonomy places the organism in Eukaryota, Metazoa, Chordata, Mammalia, Rodentia, Muridae.
ACAGGGAAAGGAUCUCAGCGGUUAGUGGGUCGGGCGUCCUGCCCUGUUGGAAGGCCAUGCGGUGAGUUUAACUGCGCAGCGUAUCCCACGCCUGCACUGGCUGGGUGCUGGGCUUUAGGGAAGCACUGAGACACUGCUCCCAGACUGGGAAACGUAGUCUGAGAUGUGAGAAAGCUGAAGCUGGUAUUCCCUGGCUUUAGAAGUGCACAGAGAAGUCGGGAACGAAAUGUCCACAGGUCCCUGAUAGGACCGGAACCAGCUCCCAAAGUCCUGGACUGCUAGGUGUAGGAUGGAAUGACGCAGUGGGAGGCCCCUCACCAGGUGAAGGCUACUUUAUUCUGGACUUCCCGGCCCACACAGCUACAAGGAAUAGAUUACUCAGUGGUUACAGACACACAAAAUACUUGGCCUUCUGCACCAAGAGAACAUGUAUAUUCAAGAAAUUAUUUCAUUUUUUAACAUGGAGGAAACAAUAAGAGGUAGAAUACCUGAGGCAAAACCACUCCCCCAAGUACGUCAGCAUGCC